AUUGAACGCUGGCGGCAUGCCUUACACAUGCAAGUCGAACGGCAGCACGGGAGCAAUCCUGGUGGCGAGUGGCGAACGGGUGAGUAAUAUAUCGGAACGUGCCCAGUCGUGGGGAUAACGUAGCGAAAGCUACGCUAAUACCGCAUACGAUCUAUGGAUGAAAGCGGGGGAUCGCAAGACCUCGCGCGAUUGGAGCGGCCGAUAUCAGAUUAGGUAGUUGGUGAGGUAAAGGCUCACCAAGCCGACGAUCUGUAGCUGGUCUGAGAGGACGACCAGCCACACUGGGACUGAGACACGGCCCAGACUCCUACGGGAGGCAGCAGUGGGGAAUUUUUGGGACAAUGGGCGCAAGCCUGAUCCAGCAAUGCCGCGUGCAGGAUGAAGGCCUUC
RNAcentral lists this ribosomal RNA (390 nucleotides) under uncultured bacterium. RNAcentral describes it as "bacterial SSU rRNA". It matches the Rfam family "Bacterial small subunit ribosomal RNA", at positions 30 to 419 of the family's 1533-position model. The record is from RNAcentral.